GUAUUUUAUCUGGUAACCCCUUGCAAGGAGCCUGCAGACCCCAAGCAAAUGUCUUCCCUUAAUCUAGAAAACACCUUCACCCAGGAUGGGAGCGACAUGAGCCAUCAGGCCUUUUAUUUGCUUUUAAUAUACUUUGGUGUGGGCAUAAGUAUCUUAAAUAAUUGAACCUGUAAUUGCACCAUAAAAACAAUGAUGCUAAUACAAAUAACAGCCAACAAGCAUGGAGCGCGUACUCUAUUGUUGUAGACACACGAGCCCCAGAAAAACUCUGUGCAGAGGAGAAAACUGAGCCACAGACAUGUUAGCAACUUGCUGAAUUAAAGACCUUUUGGUAGGUCUCUGAAACGCUCACACAGGACAAGCAGGUUUUUCCUACGUUUGCACAAAGCUCUGCUGACUGUAAGUCUUUCUCUCUGGUGUAGAUCUAUAUACACACAUAUGUGCAUGUGCAUCCUGCACAAAUAGUGUGUGUGAGAGAGGAAGUAACAGAGAGAGAGACAGACAGAGAGAGAAGGAGAAAAAAAUCACCCUGGACUUAGCUCUGGGCAUCAAAGAAGUGGCUUCAUCUUGACUUGCUGCCUCAACUGAUUGAAGCAAUCCCAAUAAUUGGUCAUGAUUUUUCUGCAAGGAUUCAGCUGCGUAUUUCUUGGUGUGGGGACAGAGGAUGAACCCCUCAGGCUUUCCUCUCACUAUGGUGUCUCUGGUGGGAACAGCUGGGGAUGCAAAGCCAUUAUGAUGUCGGAUAGGAGAGAAACCUGCUGUGCCCUCAGCCCUUGAGGAUUGCUUGGUGAGAAUGCGGAGCCAGGUCCAUCCCAGGAGGAAAAGGCCCAAACUCUAGGCAGCUUCUCCCAGGGACUUCACAGACACUUUUUAUGUCUUGAAUACCUGCAUUCCCAGACCCAAACCCACAGUUCCCAGUUCAAACACCUGGUUCUAGUGCCUUUUCCGCUGCCCAGGGAUGCCCCAGGUGCCACCGCUCCCAGUCUCUCCAAGUCUUUACGCAAAUAUAAAGAACUUCUCACUGGCAGGGAAUAAUUCUUACAAGGCUGUGUGGCAAAUGGAAAGUUUUUUUUUUUCAGCAAAACAAAGAUUCUUUUAACAUUUGUAGAAAGUCAUUCAAGGAACUGUUUCUGAAGGCACUACUUUGGAGUUUGGACUGAGUGUGGGAGAGUGCGGGGUGAGGGUGUGUGGACAACAGGGUGUCUUUGCCUGACAUGAAAAUUUAAAAAACAAAGAAAUAAAGGGGGUACUUGAGGGUGAAAGAUAAACUCACAAACAAGUCAAUAAACUUCCUUUUCAGAGUUACUGAGCACACAGGUGACUUUUACUGAUUUAUUUAUUUUUACUGGCAUUAUAGUUUACUUUAUUCUCCUUUCUAAAUAGUUUUCACAGAAAGAAAAUGCUGAAAAGCAUUCCUUUAUGGUUGCGUUUUUGCUUAGGAAUUCUUUUGAUGCUAGGGGUGGGGAGCAAACUGAAGAGAGAUGUAGGUUUUGUGAUUUUAUCAUUUUUUAUGAUGAUGCCUCCAGGUAGCACAUAUUUAUAUCCUGACACAGUCUUGUUCUUACUUCUGAGUACCCAGUUAACCUAGAGGAGUCUUGAGUGGACUGCAGAUGAGGAGAGCAUGAGGGGUUUGCAAUGAGCCAGGCAGGUGCACCUGAGCAGGCACUGCCCCUAUCAGCUGAUACUCAUGGAGAGGAGACUGGCCUGCAAACCCUCUGCCAGUACUGUAAACCCUACAUGUUUAGGUCUGGUGUGAGUUCUAAGGAAUCUGAUAAAUGCCUGCCUUUGUCACUCUGGCUGACUCGGAUCCCAUGAAGCUGAUGGGUUAGAUGAGUCUGAUCCUGAGAAACACCCCCGGGUGCAGGAAAUAGUGAAAAUCAGAUACGAAGAAGCCACACCUGUGAUUUUAAUCUUUAUGAAAAUAUCAUGCUUCUGAACUUCCUCUUUCAAAAUUCGGAUGACACACAAGUCUAUCGUACGUCAUCUUUACCACUGGAGGGUGGCUUCACGUGUUUAUAAGGAAGCUGAUAUUGUGAAUCCCAACCUCCACCACAACGCUCACCCUUACAGACACACUAUUGCAGGUCUCCGAGGGCCUUUGGGAGGCCCUGCUUCCUGCGAGCUGUCCCGGCAGGACAGAGACUCUUCCCGCCGCGGCCCUGCCAUUCCAGGCUGAGGCUGUGAGCAGCACCAUGACAAGCUCCAGCCGCAGUGGCUCUCAACAGUGUGGGUCUCUGACCACCCGACGAGCUGGAAGUGCAGACCGCUGACCUCCCUUGAGAACCUACUGGGUUCUUGCAGUAGGCUCCUCAGCGGUGUCUAAACACGCCACUCAGAUGAUUCUAUGCACCAUCACAUUGGAAACUUUUUUCAUUGACUGUUACUUAAUGAGAAGACUUCCCUCCGGGAUGGUUCUGAAGCUUCCUUCAUAGGAGCAAGCCUUUGGCGGAGAGCACUGAGCAGACGUGCAGCAUCUUUGCUGGCUUCUACCGAAACACCAUGGAUCCAGACGUGGUUUUGUGGUCCUGCACGUGGAAGCCAGCCCUGCGUGGGGUGAGCCUGGGACUGUGGGCAGAGAACCUCAAGCACCGGGCCGGCACCCAAGUGCAGAGACUGCAUCGUCCCAGCAGGAGGCGCUGCUUCCAGGCUCCCUGGACGGACUCCGGGAGGGCGGCCUUUCCCCCCAGCCCCAGAGGUGGGCCUGCCCUUUUCCGAGCGUGGGACACAGCCCAGGAAAACGCAUGGCUUGUCCUCCAGACACAGGGCGAGUUUGGACGGCAAGACUGAUGGAGAUUGUGGUCUAAAUGCCUCUAACCCACUCCUUAAAAUGACCACCGGAUGUUCCACAAGUACUUGAAAAUGAAUGAAUGGCUUCCCGAGAGGCAGAAGGCAGGGGUGUGCCCUACCCCACGCCGGCCAAGAGUUCAACAAGCAUUGGUUGACAAGUGAAUAGUGAGCACUUGAACCCAGUCACAAUUCAAGAUGAGGGCUCUGCCAUGACGCAUGUGGUCUGUGUCACCCUGCAGUCUCCCUGAGCAGUGUCUGAGGUUCGAGUGGGACCCUACAUUCGUGAAGAGAUUUAUCAUCUCCCCAGGCAAAAUAACAGAUUCUGUCCUAGGUGUUGUGAUGUAACAAUGGUAGCGAUCACAGCCAUAACUUACAAUUAUUGCAUACUUACGACGAGUCCCGCACUGGGCUAAGUGCUUUUUAACUAUGUGAAAUGUUUCUUUCCUUGAUUGAUGCCAAAAUGAAUAAAGAUAAUUUUCUGUAUCUGCUA
This 3277-nucleotide long non-coding RNA is filed under the name Homo sapiens (human). Its description in RNAcentral is "HSALNT0355595". Lineage: Eukaryota; Metazoa; Chordata; Mammalia; Primates; Hominidae. The record is from RNAcentral.